AUUGAACGCUGGCGGCAGGCCUAACACAUGCAAGUCGAGCGGAUGAAGGGAGCUUGCUCCUGGAUUCAGCGGCGGACGGGUGAGUAAUGCCUAGGAAUCUGCCUGGUAGUGGGGGAUAACGUCCGGAAACGGGCGCUAAUACCGCAUACGUCCUGAGGGAGAAAGUGGGGGAUCUUCGGACCUCACGCUAUCAGAUGAGCCUAGGUCGGAUUAGCUAGUUGGUGGGGUAAAGGCCUACCAAGGCGACGAUCCGUAACUGGUCUGAGAGGAUGAUCAGUCACACUGGAACUGAGACACGGUCCAGACUCCUACGGGAGGCAGCAGUGGGGAAUAUUGGACAAUGGGCGAAAGCCUGAUCCAGCCAUGCCGCGUGUGUGAAGAAGGUCUUCGGAUUGUAAAGCACUUUAAGUUGGGAGGAAGGGCGGUAAGUUAAUACCUUGCUGUUUUGACGUUACCAACAGAAUAAGCACCGGCUAACUUCGG
This 483-nucleotide ribosomal RNA is filed under the name uncultured bacterium. RNAcentral describes it as "partial 16S ribosomal RNA". It matches the Rfam family "Bacterial small subunit ribosomal RNA", at positions 30 to 506 of the family's 1533-position model. The record is from RNAcentral.